This 1368-nucleotide ribosomal RNA is filed under the name marine metagenome. RNAcentral's name for it is "bacterial LSU rRNA". It matches the Rfam family "Bacterial large subunit ribosomal RNA", at positions 902 to 2247 of the family's 2925-position model. The record is from RNAcentral.
GUAAAGCACUGUUUGGCCUAGGGGCCCUACCAGGUUACCGAAGUCAGAUAAACUCUGAAUGCCAUGACUUUAGAGCAGGGGAGUCAGACUGCGGGGGAUAAGCUUCGUAGUCGAGAGGGAAACAGCCCAGACCACCAGCUAAGGGCCCCAAGCGCUGGCUAAGUGGAAAACGUUGUGCGAGUGCAUAGACAACCAGGAUGUUGGCUUAGAGGCAGCCAUUCGUCUAAGGAGUGCGUAAUAGCUCACUGGUCAAGUGCUCGUGCGCGGAUAAUGUAACGGGGCUCAAGCCAGCCCCCGAAGCUGUGGGCUUCGUCUUUGACGGAGCGGUAGGAGAGCGUUCCUCGUGCAGUGAAGCGGAUAGCGGCAAGCUUCCGUGGAGCGCGGGGAAGUGAGAAUGCAGGCAUAAGUAACGAAAGAGGAGUGAGAAACUCCUCCACCGGAUGCCCAAGGUUUCCUGAGUAAAGUUAAUCUGCUCAGGGUUAGUCGGGACCUAAGCCGAGGCCGACAGGCGUAGGCGAUGGAUAACAGGUUGAUAUUCCUGUACUGCGUCUUCCGCGCUAUUACCGAUGGGGGGACGGGGAAGGGUAGGCGAACCGUGGCGCUGGUAGUCCACGGACAACCCGGUAGGAGGAACCCUAGGAAAAUCCGGGGUUCAUAUACUCCGAGAGGGGAUGUCGGUCAGCGUAAGCUGGCAAGUCGUCGAGCCCAUGCCUCCGAGAAAAGCCUCUAGGGAGUGGGAACGCACCCGUACCAAAACCGACACAGGUGGGCAGGUAGAGCAUACCGAGGUGAUCGAGAGAACCUUCGUUAAGGAACUCGGCAAAAUUGUCCCGUAACUUCGGGAGAAGGGACGCCCCGGUAGAGUGAUCGGCCUUGCGCCAGGAGCUCGAGGGGGCCGCAGAGAAUUGGCCCAACCGACUGUUUACCAAAAACACAGGUCUCUGCGAAGUCGUAAGACGACGUAUAGGGGCUGACGCCUGCCCGGUGCCGGAAGGUCAAGUGGAGAGGUUAGCCCUUGAGGCGAAGCUUUGAAACCAAGCCCCGGUAAACGGCGGCCGUAACUAUAACGGUCCUAAGGUAGCGAAAUUCCUUGUCGGGUAAGUUCCGACCUGCACGAAUGGCGUAACGAGUUGGGCGCUGUCUCAACGAAGGACUCGGUGAAAUUGUAGUAUCGGUGAAGAUGCCGAUUACUCGCCACAAGACGGAAAGACCCCGUGAACCUUUACUGCAGCUUGAUAUUGGUGUGUGGGACAUCCUGUCCAGGAUAGGUGGGAGGCUGUGAGACGGUGACGUCAGUUGCCGUGGAUCCAACCUUGGGAUACCACCCUGGGUGUUCUUAGCUUCUAACGGGAGCACGGCAUCCGGCCC